RNAcentral lists this ribosomal RNA (445 nucleotides) under uncultured bacterium. Its description in RNAcentral is "bacterial SSU rRNA". It matches the Rfam family "Bacterial small subunit ribosomal RNA", at positions 354 to 796 of the family's 1533-position model. The record is from RNAcentral.
GUGAGGAAUAUUGCGCAAUGGAGGCAACUCUGACGCAGCCAUGCCGCGUGCAGGAAGAAGGCGCUACGCGUUGUAAACUGCUUUUAACCGGGAAGAAACCCCAGGACGUGUCCUGGGUUGACGGUACCGGAGGAAUAAGCACCGGCUAACUUCGUGCCAGCAGCCGCGGUAAUACGAAGGGUGCAAGCGUUAUCCGGAUUCAUUGGGUUUAAAGGGUGCGUAGGCGGAGCGUUAAGUCAGUGGUGAAAUCCUGCAGCUUAACUGUAGACUUGCCAUUGAUACUGGCGCUCUUGAGUGCGCUUGAAGUGGGCGGAAUGUGCCGUGUAGCGGUGAAAUGCUUAGAUAUGGCACAGAACACCAAUUGCGAAGGCAGCUCACUAAGGCGAUACUGACGCUGAGGCACGAAAGCGUGGGGAUCGAACAGGAUUAGAUACCCCUGUAGUCC